This 450-nucleotide ribosomal RNA is filed under the name uncultured Glomeromycotina. RNAcentral's name for it is "SSU rRNA". It matches the Rfam family "Eukaryotic small subunit ribosomal RNA", at positions 569 to 1030 of the family's 1831-position model. Lineage: Eukaryota; Fungi; Glomeromycota. The record is from RNAcentral.
AGCAGCCGCGGUAAUUCCAGCUCCAAUAGCGUAUAUUAAAGUUGUUGCAGUUAAAAGCUCGUAGUUGAAUUUCGGGGUUCUACCGUUGGUCGGGCAAUAGUCUGUACUGGCGUGUGGAAUUUCUACCUUCUGGGGAACUAUCAUGUUAUUUAUUUAGCGUGGUAGGAAACCAGGACCUUUACCUUGAAAAAUUAGAGUGUUCAAAGCAGGCUUACGUCUGAAUACAUUAGCAUGGAAUAAUAAAAUAGGACGGUGGUCCUGUUUUGUUGGUUUCUGAAUCACCGUAAUGAUUAAUAGGGAUAGUUGGGGCAUUAGUAUUCAAUUGUCAGAGGUGAAAUUCUUGGAUUUAUUGAAGACUAACUUCUGCGAAAGCAUUUGCCAAGGAUGUUUUCAUUAAUCAAGAACGAAAGUUAGGGAUCGAAGACGAUCAGAUACCGUCGUAGUCUUAAC